CCAUUGCCGUUCAUGGUGCUCAUGGAUGAUGCAACCCUGCUCCUCGCCAUGCCUAGGAGAGGGUGUUGACAAGUUGAGCCCUCAAUUGUUGGAUGUUACUACCAAAAUUGAUCCAUGCAGAGCACCACCUGCAGGAGUUUUCUUAUAUAAUGACCCACAAGUACUUCUUAGGCAGUAUAAUAUAU
Lolium rigidum is the source of this 185-nucleotide long non-coding RNA. RefSeq lists it as uncharacterized. The record is from RefSeq and is a predicted model, not a curated record. The transcript has 3 exons. Lineage: Eukaryota; Viridiplantae; Streptophyta; Magnoliopsida; Poales; Poaceae.